CACGUAGUUAGCCGUGACUUUCUGGUUGAAUACCGUCACUGCGUGAACAGUUACUCUCACGCACGUUCUUCUUCAGCAACAGAGUUUUACGAGCCGAAACCCUUCUUCACUCACGCGGUGUCGCUCCAUCAGGCUUGCGCCCAUUGUGGAAGGUUCCCUACUGCUGCCCUCCCGUAGGAGUAUGGACCGUGUCUCAGUUCCAUUGUGGCCGAUCAGUCUCUCAACUCGGCUAUGCAUCAUUGCCUUGGUAGGCCAUUACCCUACCAACUAGCUAAUGCACCGCGGGCCCAUCCUGAAGUGAUAGACCGAAACCAUUCUUUACAAAUAGAAAACCAUGUUGGUUUUCGUUGUUAUGGUCGGUUAUUAGCACCUUGUUUACCAAAUUCGUUAACUCCCCCGCUUCGAGGGCUAGGUUCGCCCUACGGUUGUUACCUCCGACCCGUCCGCCGCUCCACGUGGUAACUCCAUCGUCUACUUCAGUCGCAAGCACGUCAGAUCGUAGGUUCGGGCCAGGUCG
Molecule: ribosomal RNA, 517 nt
Filed under: uncultured Bacillota bacterium
Lineage: Bacteria; Bacillati; Bacillota
Description: uncultured Firmicutes bacterium partial 16S ribosomal RNA
Source: RNAcentral